RNAcentral lists this long non-coding RNA (2521 nucleotides) under Meleagris gallopavo (turkey). RNAcentral's name for it is "lncRNA (ENSMGAG00000018017.1)". The record is from RNAcentral. Lineage: Eukaryota; Metazoa; Chordata; Aves; Galliformes; Phasianidae.
CUUUUUUUUUACUAAGGAGGAAUCUCUUUUAGUCUUUUAAUUAUUUUGUCAAGAAUAGCUUGUUCAUCAGCAGAAGAGGAGUUAUUUUAGCAAUCAACUUUUAGGAAACCUGAGAGUGCAGCACAUCCUGUAACUGAAUAAAGGUAGGCAAUUUCUUGGAUUUUUUUUUUUUUCAUUUCAAAAUGUUCAGAACCUGGAGACAUUUGAAUCACAAAGCAAUGCUCUAUUCCUCUCUUCUUUGUCUGAAUUACAGACAGUAAUGCAUGACUUCGAAAGGAAAGGAAAAUGGAGGCAAGUGUGUACAUGAAUUCAGAUGUGAUUUGUUAUCAUAAAAAAAAGGCAUACAGUUUUAAACUAAACCUCAGAAUAUGAGACUGAUUGAAUUUAGGAUUAAAAGCAAAGAAAUGCAAGAACUGCUGUAUAGAGUGUGUCCACUGUCCAUAUAUUGUAACAUUUCUGAAAUAUUCAUUUUGCAUCCUGGAUUAUGACUGCCUCAGACAUCUGAGGAGGUGUGCACUAAUGCAGAAGGCAACAUUCAUCAUGAUACAUAAAAGAAACCAAUGUGGAAAUAAUGUAGUAACAUCUAUGCACUGUCAUUUUCAGAUUUCUGAAAGUAAACCCCAUGUUAGACGGUAUAUUUGUCAACCACCUGGCAUCAUUCAGGAAUAGAUAAGUUCUGAUCUUUCUCAUUUAUUGGAACUGGAGUUGGUGGAGACGGUCUGGGUGACUAACUGGAAUGUGUUGGGAUUUCCUGAAUGUCAACAAGUUCUGAGUUUAGGAAAAGCUUGUAUACCAAACUGAAAAGUAAAUGUAGCAAGUAAUGUGACUGGUUCUAAGUCAUUUUUGAACACCUAUAAUUUAACACUACUAUAUUUUCUUCAUUUUCCACUAUACUGAAACAUAAUUACUAAUUACUUGAAAAUUCUGAGUUACGUGGUAAAGAUCUAAGUUUUCUCCCAACUUUCCUGGUACACUAACUUGAUAUGGAGAAGAUACUUCUGUUUUUACAGUCAGUUUUGAAAUUAGAGAGAAACAUCUCACAUUAUAUCCACCCAUCUUCUAUGCUCCAACCUCAGUAGCCAUUCAUAGCUAAAUGAAGGACUGGCCUUUGGAAUGAAUUCCAAAAAAAAAAAAGUAUAGAAACAAUGCAGUAUACGAAGAAAGUCUUAUUGGAUUUAUAUUUGAUUACGUAUCACCGGGAAGUCAAACUGUGGGGAUGGUAAAGCUGUAGGUGACAUUACUAACAUGGUUGCUUACCUUCAUUAUAAACCAGUAAAUCAACAUAGCAGAAUUGUAGGAGGCUGCAAACAAUCCUGAAUAAUCUUGAAUCUUAACUUUUUCAUUUCCUUUUUUUUUUUUAAAGAAGAUUUGUCCUCAAUCUUAUCAGGCUUCAUGAAAUGCAUAGAAUUUGUUAAGUAAGUUCUAGGAUUUGGACUUCAUUUUUGAAUGAACAAAAAAGAUGAGAUCUUGUGAUUGGACUGUGUGAUAUAAAUAACAAAUUUAUAGGGAUUCCGACCAAGAAAGAAUUUGUCUGUGUCAAAAAUCAUACAAGCCAGGCCUAGAUUAAGCCCCUACAGUGAUACUCAGCCUGAAACCUGCAAUCUACUUACCAUUUUCUAGGCUUUCAGACAGUUUUACAAGAUUGACUAUCAAGUUUUCUCAAGAAAACAGAAAGUUGUUAUUCUGUUGCAGUCUUUCUGCUACCUUGUUUGCUGUUCAGUAGGCUUAGAUGAGGAUCUUUUACACUUGCCAAACAUGAUUUUAACUGCUUCCAAAAUGCAUAGUAUAAUGGUAUUCUCUCUCUUACCAGAACAAUACUUAUUCUUUGCUCAAAGUAACACCAGAAGAAAAUUAACUCUAUCCCAGUCAAAACCAGUAGAAGGUAAUUGUGACAAGUAGUCAUGAAUCAUAAAACAAAAUAUGUCAAAUCUCUGUAAAUGCAGAAGAUUAUACAAAUGACACUGACUGCAGCUGUGAUAACAUUAAGCUUGCCAGAUCUCGCAGUCAGAUACUAAGGUUUCUGUUAGUACUGGGAUUACAGUUUGCUAUGACUACUGUCAAGCUGGCUCUAAAAUAGCUUUAGGGAAAACAGAUACUUAUCUCUGUCUUUUGUGAGACAAUAAAAAACAACAAAUAAACCUCACUGCUUACGUACUUUCCUGUUGUGUUCUAUGUGUCCUGUAUGUACGAAUGUGUUUAGAUUAACAUUGUGAGUUUGUUGCUAUAAAACACAAAGCAAAUACUGUAUUAAAAGGCCCUCAAAACCUCAUUCCGAGCAUGUCCAGUUAUUGUAUCUCUGUUCUACCCUAAGGAUGACAGAGGUUUCCAAAGUAAAUCCACACAAACAACAAAUCAGUGAGUCACCACAUUUCCACUUGCAUCCUUUAUUGUGUACCUGCGUAAUUUGGGCUUUUUAACAUAGGCUAUAUAAAAUUAACAAAUGUUUAUAAACAAAUGAUGCCAACAUACAAAAUUAUGAAAAUUAUUCCUUUUAAAUCAACUGUAAACACUUGUGUUGAUA